GGCCUCCUGGUGUUUACCACAGGUUGUGUUCUUACUGUGUAGAAAGAGGAGGCAAAGUAAAUCUACCCCAUACACACCUGGGCCCAGGCCCUGUGCUUGAUCUCUACUGUGAAUGGGGAAGUGUGA
RNAcentral lists this small nucleolar RNA (126 nucleotides) under Castor canadensis (American beaver). Its description in RNAcentral is "Small nucleolar RNA SNORA51 (ENSCCNG00000003009.1)". It matches the Rfam family "Small nucleolar RNA SNORA51". From Rfam's summary of the family: ACA51 is a member of the H/ACA class of snoRNA that guide the sites of modification of uridines to pseudouridines. The record is from Rfam by way of RNAcentral. Lineage: Eukaryota; Metazoa; Chordata; Mammalia; Rodentia; Castoridae.